AAUUUUUUAGUAGCAUAAACCCUUUAGUUUUUUUUUUAACUUACUGCUAUCCAUGUUUCCAAACAGUACUAUUUUUAACUACUAUCCAUAUUGCCAAACAAUCUCAAUGUGUACUUCAACUUUAAUAAUAUAGAUGAAAAAUUUAGCAAAAGAAGUUAAAUAAAUAAACAUAACGAAAAAAAAAUUGAAAGGGAAAGAGUCAGAGAUGCAUGUCUUUCACGUGUUGAGAUGUAGUUAAUGUUAAGACAUCACUAUUCACUACCAGGCAAGGUGCAUUUCUCCAUAAGUCUUUAAGGUUUUCGUCGCUUUCUCUCGUUUCCUAACAAUUCUGUUUUGACCCAGCCUCUCUCCCUCUAAAUAAAGUUAAUACGCUUCUCUUAUAUUCCGUGAAUAAGAUAAUUAAUUCAUGCAUCUCACGUUUUCUCUGUCGAUAUUACUUUUCAAGCUAACCAAUUCGCCUACCUUCCACGUACCAACUUCCCUUCUUUUGGUCUUUAGUCUCACAUCUAAACUAAUUGUAAAAACAAAAAAAAAACUCUUUUUUUUUGUCUCAACACAUUAAAUGUGUCAUUUUAAAAAGUUGAAAUAAAUUGAUGGUCUCUUUUUUUUUUCCGUCGAAUAAAAUUUCAUUCCAUGUGAAACACACGUUCUGAUACACAAACUGGCGGAUAAUACAACGUCCCCAGAAGCAAGAACCCAAACAACAGGCAGCUAAAACCCACACCGGAGUGACUUACGACCACAACACAACACAACCAAUCAAAGCAAAGAAACUAGAAACACCAACUAAAAACAACAAGCUAAAACUAACUACACAAAGCAUAGAACAAUCCAAAGCAAGAAACCUCCUGAAUAGCACAAAGCAAUGAUCUGGAAGUAUCGAUGCUGCCCUCGGCCAACCAUACGAUACACUCCACUUGUAGAACCCAAGACUCUACGUCUUCCCAACUCGGAUUUAUCGCUGCCGCCUAUGGCCUGCCGAACGAUACCAUCCCCACUCGUAACCAAGAACCACGACUUCAUAACCCGACAAGAGGAAUCGCUUCACGAUACACACAACUUUCGGAUACGGCUGGACUGCACUCUUUGACGUCCACUAUUUACCUAGAUAGAAGCCCGCCAAAAACUCCCCACAACCAAGCCUCGUCAAAUCUCAAUCAAAUAAGAACAAUGACAUACCAAACCGACGAGAGAUCAUUGCAUUUACCAAAACAGGAAGAGAAAUUUGCGACUGAAAUUGUCAAACACCAAACAACGGAACUGAGCCUCACUGCGACUGCCAGACUUCUAAACUCAGAGGCGCAUUCCUGUGUCGGCCUCAGAACCUACGGCACUGGCACACUCUUUAGCCACAAACGAUGAACCAGAAUGUCAGACGACAAAAGACGGGUCUUGACUACAAAGCACAAACCAAUAGGCCAGAUAUUGUUUCCAACGAUGUCGAGCUCGUACCACCCGCUAGGGUAGGAAUUCCUCACCAGCGUUGGUAUGAGCCCCACCAUGUACCGACGACCAGGUAAUCUCCUACGAUUGACCCAAGAAUCAGGUAGCAAAUCGCCUUCCACUCUCCAUCGAAAAUCUCCUCUGUGUCUCAUUGUCCCAUUGGAAGGGAGAUCCACUGUGAAGGAGUUGUCUUCCAUAUUUAUGCGCCAUCGCCGAGUUGGACUCACCAUGGAUCUGAAGAUUGAAAACCAGAUCUGAUUUAUCCAACCUCCCUAAAAGCCGACUCCCUCCUCCUCUGCCUACUCAUGAGUCUCACCGCUGCUCCAGAUACAGCCAAAGACCGUCUCCGUUAAGAAGAAGACACAUCUCCGGUUAGGUCUAAGGUGACCCAGAACCGCUAAUAUAUCGACAGAGAGAGGCAGUAGAGAAUAGAGCAAAGGAAAACAGAGAAAUAAGGGAUUAGAGGGGCCUCCGGCACCGGCAAACGCCGGACCGGAGUUAGGUUUGCUUAGGCGGCGGCUGUUCGCUUUCUUCUUCGCGAGAGAGAAAGGUUUUUAGGCGAUGGUCUCUAUAUAUAUUUUUUUUUCUGUUUUAGUGUCAAGAUUCGUACCUUUAAACGUGCUACUUCCUACUCAAAUAUUGAGCAAUAAAUAGAACUAAAAUUCAAAAACGUAUCACAAUUAGACACACAAUCGAAGUAGAAAAAAAAUAAAUGAGGUAAUAUACUAAUAUCAGUCUAGAUAUUUUUAAGAUGUCAAAUACAACACUUUUACAUGGAAUGUGUCAUUGUGAGACGUUUAAGCUCGAGUAAGUAAAGUUUUCUUAGAUGCUCAACUAAAUCCCAAUAUUAUACAAGCAUUUUUUAUUUUGAAGAAAAUCCAUUUCACAAGUAAAGAUUUUUUUCUUGCAAUUUUCACAAAAUAUGCGUAUUUAAAUAAAUUACAAAAGUAGAAGGAACUAAAUGGUUUUGUGUGGCCCAAGUAUUUAACUUUUGGUGGGCUUAAAGAAACGUAAGCCCAAAAGUUUGUUCGUCCUCCAAAUUCUUAUCUUGUUUUGGAGCGAUUGCUUGUUUGUUUCAGUGAGUUAUGGAUGGACACAUAUGAAGGAGACCUAGAAUUCAACAGAGAAGAAUCAACUAUUGGACCUUUAAGCCCAAUAUUGGUUUUACGUUCUUUAUUUAUAAAGCCCAUUAAGUGUGAGUCUAUCUUCUUGACGGCAUUCAAAUUCAAAGCCUGUUUUCCUUUUUUUUUUUGAAAAAAUGUUAAAUUAAUUCAAACAAAAAAUCUGUUUUACAGAGAAGGCAUAUAAUCGUGUCUUCUUCCUACCAAAGUCCACACAAAAAUCGUCCCAGGAAAACCGUUCUCGUGACGGUUAAUGGCGAUCGUAAGUGCGAUUUUUUCUCCUUCCCACUGAUCAAAAUUUGGCUCUGAUCAAAGCAACAACUAGUGUUUCUGGUGAUGCAUCUACAAUCCAAACGUCAUCAUGGUGAUUGCAGUGAUGAAAAUAGCCAUGGUUAUGGCUCUUCUCCAACGACAAAUACAUAGUAUUUUGUCAUUUCUCUUUCUCGUAACCAUGGUGGUUGUGGAGGGAUUCGUCUUGAUGAUGAUGAUCAUUAAUCAGAAUCUGGAUUUUCAGGGUUUGAGAUCAGUUCAUCCAUCGUCAACAAGAGGUCUAACGCAACAACAUUCGGUACGUAACAUGUUAUUUGAAUACAUUCACGGUGUCGGUACAGGACAGUCUUACGGCAAGUUCACUAUGACAUCUUCUAUCUCCGUGGUGGAAAAGGUCCACUGCGAUGAUAUCUUGCUUAUUCAUCGCUAUAGAUGGUGCCUUGGCCGAAGAAUUUGGGAUCCAGGAAAGUUACAAGCUUUUAUGAAGCAACUACAUCACAAGAUCAAGAUGAGAAGAUCAAUUUUAGGAGAAACAAGAAUCUUUUAAAAUCUAUAUUUCGAUACAAUAUAUUUGGUAUCGAAAUAUGGAUAAAUCUGCAUUAUCGUUGAAGCCAUGUAAACCACCAUGGAAAAAACGAUCUUCCAAAAUAGAAAAUGAAGCCUUUUUGUUGUACGGCGACGUUCUUAUAGUCGUUGAAAGUUGGUUAUCCCAGUUUUUAGUUUUUGCAGUUGAAUCAAUAUAUUGGAUUCAAAACUGGAAAAUAUCUAUAGUUCUAAACUGGGAUAAGAUCAACAUAAUACAACAAAAGGAAGUGGUGUUUAUGAUGCGAUGCAAAUUUAAAGCUCGCAGAAGAACUGAUAGAGUUGAUACUCUAUCAAAAAAGAAGACCGUGGAGGAAAAGCAUAUUUACAAGUUAAUUCUUUUGAUCUAGUGUUGUUUACUCUUCAUCUUGAUUAUGCUAUUAGUUGUGUUUUAUUAUCUUAUGUAUUGUAUAUGUAUUUGUUUCUGUUACAUUCUAAUUAAUAAAUUCAAGUUGAUAAAAAAAAAAAAAAUCGUGUCUUCUUCCUCACUGAAGCAAAAAAGAGUGCGUUGAAUAAGCUUCACACCUUCUUAAUACUUCUUCUCGCUGUGUAUUUGCUUCAUCUUGAGCGUUGACGGUACCAACCAAUACGGAUGUCGAAAGAGGGAUCGGAGUUCCGUAUUAAGCGGGACAGAACCUGUACCAGGAAGGAAUCGUGACGCCGAACGCUAUCUAUAGAGAUCCGUUGGGUGCUCUGAUCCAUCAAACGAUAUAUCUAUUAUCGCUAUUGGUUGCUGAUGUCUGGUGAUGGAACCGCCACAGUGGAAGCAACCAAGCUUCGCACUCCAUGCUUGAUAAAAUGCACUUUUUUCUUCUUCUUGUUAAAUAUUGCAUGUGAAGUUGAGUCGUUCUGUUGCAUCGUGCAUGUACCGAACUAAAUUGAAAGAUUAAGAAUCACACCUAUAAAAUGUGUGUUAAACGGAGUAUAUACAAUUGUCUAGUGAUUCAUCAAUUGAACAGUCCAUGUCUCGACUCUUGUCUCUUCUUCGUUAUGAAACAAGACUCUUCACGUAUAGAUGUUUUGCACUCUUUAAGAACAAAAAGGUAAUGACGGUGUGAUGGGCUGUUCUGACCCGUUUGAGCCCGCCAUACUUUAAGCUAAGCUGCUCGGUAGCCCGGCUUGUUCUGCUUUAUGGUUUUCAAGCUCUACUCUGGUUUGUGAAAUGGACUCCCUAAAAUCAUCACAUUUCUUCCCUCUCCUCGUUGGCUCACUCACAGGUACUUACUUUUUUUUUUUUUGCUUAAACAUAGUACUUAGUUUAGUGGAAAACUUCAAUAUAUAGUAGACGGCAUACGGCACACGAACAUUUGUGGAGAUCCCAGAAUUUGCUUAAAUUGAUAAUGUCACAAUUAUCAUAAUAGUGAUAAUAUGUUUAGUUCACCUAUUAGAUAAAUCAGCAGGGUUUGAUAUGCAAAAAUCUUUAUCAAUUGAAGUUUAUAAAUAUUAUUACUAUAUUGUUUCCAGAGUUUUUUCUUUAAAAAACAUAACUAUUCAUGUAUUUAUGUCUUUUCCUAGAUUUUAUCUAAAGAUGGUCCCAAACUGAACAAAAUAUGAUUCAUAGUCGUGGUGUAGACAUGUCAAGAUUGUACUAUUGGUUGUGUUUCUUAAACUCCUAGACAGUGAGUAUUCUGGUAUACUUCCCAGUCAAUCGAGAUCAUGUAGAUAAUUGCAACUUAUGUUUAUAAUACGCCACUGCUUUUGUUUUGUCUUCUCUUUGUUGACAUUAAUUUGCUCCUUGUUCUGUUUGGGUUUACAAAAGCAUAACAUUUGUCUGAUAGGUCUUUGAUUAGGGAAACAUCAAGUCAUGUGAAUAAUCCUUUAGCAACUUGAAUAAGUUCAUUCUUUUUAAAAAUGGAGACUGGUAAACUAAUAAACAGGGAGUUGCGUGGAAAGGUGAAAAGGAGGAUAAAUUUUUAGUGCAAUACAGAUGUACAACUGUAGUUGUCACCGAGCAUAUGCCUUGUCUGUUGGUUUCAGUGUUCAAAGCUUAUACUCUUCUGUUUUGUUGGAAUCCGGGAACAGUCAUAGUUGCCUCUUCAGAGUGUGAAGUGGCUUAAUUGGUUAGGUUCUUUGGGACCAUUUAGAUGUCUAUCAAUAGCAAGAAUUUUAAUCCCUUUCACGAAGUUUUGGGAUUAGUUCUUAGCUAUAAAUGUCUAAUCAUGCCUCAAAUAAAGGUCAAUUAAGGAAGAUACAACUGAAUCUUUGAUGGGGUCCAUGAUUGACAGUUCUUUUCAAGAUACGUGUAGGAUUUGCUUAGAGUUUGGAGAAGAAGAGGACCACAAGAGGAAAACAUAACAUGUGAUGCGAGUAAAACUGCUCCUAUAUCAAACCCAUUUGGUUGUCCAAAAAAAAGAAAAGAAAAAUCAAACCCAUUUGUUAUUUAUCAUUUUGUCUCAGAAAGCUGAAGCUGAUCCUCGAGUCACUCCCUCACAAGGGGUUUUGCUUCUUCACACGCAACCUAUACACAAAAUAUCAAACUCUUUUUUGGGUAUUUUAUCUAUAUUUUAAUAUAUUGCCAAAAACUUCCAGAUCUUUUGGACAGGGGACUAGAGCAUGCAAUUUAGUGACCUAGUUCACGUAUACUUCCCCAUAGUAGUUUCGACCAGUUUUAUUACCAACUUCAGAUUAUUUUUCGUAAAGGGUGUCAAAAUAGACAUCAGGAUAAGGUUGAUGAUGAUUAUGUACAUGUUUAGUAAUUAAUUAUGGGGUUUAGGUUUGUGUUGUCAUCAAGAAAUGAAUAUGGGGAGUGUCACAUCUAUAGUUUUGCUUAGAGUCUCUAGGCAACAUGUCUUUGCUGACUGACCUCAUUCUCCUCUUUUAAUGCUUUGUUAGAAGCCUUAUGGGAACAGGCAAGAGCCAUAAAGAUAUUCUGGCUCUUGAACUAAAUAAACAAAAUUUGAUGAAACAAAAUUAUAAAAAUACUCUCUUGUGUUAUUUGAGUUUGUUUACCCAACUAGUUUCCUUCUUGUUUUAUGUAGUUUAAUUAUGGUGUGGUGGUUGGGAGAAAAAAAGAAAAGGAUUGGAUUCAAGAGAUUUAUACAGUUCUUUUGAUAUGCACUUUCUAGUGCUUCUUGUGAAAAUGUUCUUAAUCUUGUUAAUAAAUCUCGCCUAUUGUUUUCUCUCAAAAUUUUCGGCUACUCCAGAGUAAUGAUCAACCAAGUCUUUGAUUUAUUGCUCAAUAGCUUUUAUAUCACGUUUGGUUCUUGCUUCGUUUGUUUAUGUUUAUGUUUAUCAUUUUUUUUUUUUUUUUUGAAACACACUUAUAUUAAAAACCUUAACCGAAGUUAGGUGCAGCCAUAAUGGCAAGUUCAACAUUCAGACUCUGUUUUGCUAAGCUGUCGGCAACUGUAUUUCUCUCACGUGAGAUCCAGUUGAAAGAAAUAACAUCAAAAGAUUAUCAUUUCUUAUUUGUGAUUUUUCUUGAGAAAAUAUCACUUUGUAUUUUUGUUUGCCUUUCGUAGUUUCUCUUUAGCGUGUAACGUUCACGAAUAAGUUUACGAGUGCGUCUUUAUCUUCUUCUUUUAUUUUUGAUAGUAUAUUUUGUUGUUUUUUUUUUGUUAUCUUUGCGAUUGUCUUUUGCAUAUGUAUGUCUGCAUAAAGAAAAAUUUUAGUUGCUAAAACAUUCGCAUUAGCAUUAAAUUUCAACGUUUUGCAUUUGUAUUUUUUUGUUUGCGUGCAGCUUUAAUUUGUUAUUAUGCACAUUUGUUAUUACCAAUUUGGUUAUUAACCGCUAGAGUAGGUAAGUAAAUCUAUGAGGAAUAUACAUAUGAAUAUAACAUACAUAUAUAUUGAAUUAAUUAAUUAAAUCUAUGAUUAAAAAAAAGGAAUAUACAUACACAUAUAUUGAAUUUGGUUGGUGGAAGUGACACAUAACUAUGCAAUAUGAGUGAAAAGGGCGUGUGUGCAAUGAUGAUUUGUGAAAGUGUGUGGAUCUCCCACGUCUCCUAACUCGCAGCCCACUUGGAAUUUUAUGCAAAUUUGAAUUUCACAAAAACAAGUCAGCAUUAUACGACUCUUUCCAGAUUCUACCUUCUCUUGCUUCUUUUCUUUUCUUAAUUUUUAUUUUCAUGAAUAUACACAUGUAUUUGUGUGGGUGUUACUUCUUAAUAAUCUAAUUUUUUUUUUGAAGAUAAAGAUGAAAUUCUUAAUAAUCUAAUUAAACCGCUAAAAAGGUAAAUUUGAGAUGCACUUUGAUUCUUCUCACUAAGCUGAAUAACUUAUGUUAUGAUCUUCUACUUCUCAAAUAACGGGGUUGUGUUUCAAACAGGGGAAACUUGCGUCGCGAAGGACUAAAAUGCAGUUCGGAUACUAUAUGGGUAAUAUAUGUGCACAUAACACUACCACGAUCGUCAUUGUGACUGCGAACUACAGGGGGAGUAGAGAUGAAAGUCGGCUCUCAUUAUCGGACUACUAUUGUAUUUGUAUAUCACUCUUACUGUAUUUGUGUUAAAAAACGGAACCAUUUAAAAUA
Brassica rapa (field mustard) is the source of this 7887-nucleotide long non-coding RNA. RefSeq lists it as uncharacterized. Lineage: Eukaryota; Viridiplantae; Streptophyta; Magnoliopsida; Brassicales; Brassicaceae. The record is from RefSeq and is a predicted model, not a curated record.